This 386-nucleotide long non-coding RNA is filed under the name Equus caballus (horse). Its description in RNAcentral is "lncRNA (ENSECAG00000048442.1)". The record is from RNAcentral. Lineage: Eukaryota; Metazoa; Chordata; Mammalia; Perissodactyla; Equidae.
GAAGACUUUGCUGUAAGGCUUGGCAGCAAACUGCCAAGGAUUCCCGCUCCCUGGCUCCUCCUUCAUGUCUUCGAAUCCCAAAGAGGCAGCAGGAUUUACGGCAGGAUCCUAGGCUUUGGACUUCACUACAGACCUCCAUUCAAGUCUUGGCUCCAUCACUUAUUGCCUGUGAGACCCUGGACGCAGCUAAUUGAUCUCAGCAUUCUUGUCUGUUGGGUCUGGAUGUGGCUUCAGGAUCGUUUUCAGUACAGCUAUGGAGAUAGCCAUUACCAAUCAAUCAGAACUGGUACUUGAGACUUCCGUAAUGUGCAUUGGUCACUGACGCUGAUGCCAGUGGAUUGUUCUGUGAGGAAAUCAAGGACAUGCUGUUCUGCAUCAGGGUGGAG